RNAcentral lists this unclassified non-coding RNA (1412 nucleotides) under Penaeus chinensis. RNAcentral describes it as "protein polybromo-1-like, transcript variant X5". Lineage: Eukaryota; Metazoa; Arthropoda; Malacostraca; Decapoda; Penaeidae. The record is from RNAcentral.
UGUUGUAGAGCCAAAGACAAGCGGAGGGAUGAGCGUGAGGCACAAAUUCCUCUAAAAAUCAUUGGCUGUUGAUAUGUUUCAUUAGUGUAGGACAUAUUUUGGAUACAAACUGCGUUUUCUAAAAUAUGACAUUGGCUCUGUUGGUUAUCAAGCAGUUCUAAAAGCAGAAAGUGGUUGGCGUCGGUUGGUUCUGGACGAAGGCCGAGGUUGACGCGAUCCAGGAGGGGAUUUGAGGCCGAGGGAACCUUUACGAAAAAGUGAAUUAGGGCGGAGGAACCUUCAGAAGAUAGUGAAUGAAGGCAGAGGGACCUUCAGGGGAUAGUGACACUUCCUUCAUCCUGUGUUCAUACUCUCAUUUUGGUCAACCUCCGAUUAAGGGCCCCCAAGAUUCUGGAUCUUGGUCUUGGCCCAGGAGACCUCUAGACCCAAGGGCUUCACCUCAUUGCUGAAUGAAUCAAGAAUCGCCACCACUGAUUCCAGAUAGGAUAGCAACACCGUCAGCAAAUUCAAGGUGUGACAUGCCAAAACGCAAGCGACUGUCUGAUGGGGAGGAAGGGGAGUCUACUGUUGCUACUCCAGUUGUAGAAGGGAGACCCAAGAGACGUCGAAAUGAUACAACACUGGUUGAUACAAUACAGUACAUUUUUGAUGCAUUACGUAACAAAAAGAAAGACGACGAUGUAUACCUAUGCGAAGCAUUUCUUCGAGUGCCUAGGAAGAAAACAGAACCACAGUAUUAUGAGAUGAUUAGGUCUCCAAUAGACAUGCUGAAGAUCCAGCAAAAGAUAAAGACGGAUGUGUACAAUGAACUUGAGGAAUUUUGUAAAGAUGUCCAACUACUGGUGGAUAAUGCCAAACUAUAUUAUGCCAAGUCUACUGAUGAGUACAAAGAUGCUUGUGAGCUAUGGACAAUAUUCGAGGAGGCCAAAGAUCGUGCACCUGAAGAGAUCAAUAAGGAAAAAUUACGUCAGCAGUCCCAAGAAGAAGACGAACGACAAGGCAAAAGGAAAUACAUUCUACAGAGGGGAAGACCACCAAAGUCUGCAAUUGCAUUGUCUGCCCCAAUGAUAUUAGAAGAGGAUGGUGAGCCUAUGACAAUAGAAAAUGCUAUUGAAGAGCUUUUUGGAGCAGUGAUGACAGCUAUGGAUCCUGAUGGAAGACUCUACUCCUAUGAUUUUCGUCUUUUACCUUCAAGAGAGCUGAGGUGAAAGACCAACACAGCAGUGCCACUCUAGGCAGAGAUUUUCAUUUUGCUCCCCUUCACAGCUGGAAAUAUCCAGAUUACUACCAGUACAUUGACAACCCAAUUGACUUGAAGACUAUUGCACAAAAUAUUCAAGCUGGCAUCUACAAGAGCCUUGAUGAUUUACAUGAAGAUUUUAAUCUGAUGUUCAAUAAUGCAUGUGUUUUUA